AGAUCGAUCUUGUGCGUCAAAAAGAGGCUUCGAAAGAAGUAUUUCUCUAGUGGAGCUACAUGCUCUGCGACACUGUUAAAUUGCGGGAAGUUCCUAGCGCUUCUCCCACCAAACAUCUUUGGAAACAAAGGUGCGGCCGAGCUAAUAGCCCUGGGUAUGGUAACAGCGUAGAAGAUGCAACAAUGGAUAAUCCGCAGCGAAGCCCUACGUCUUUUAUAAAAGAUAUGGGUAGCGUUCAGAGACUAGAUAGCAGUGGGUCUUUUAGAAAGGCUUAAGGUAUAGUCCGACCGGUGUUGAAAGACAACG
Capsicum annuum is the source of this 306-nucleotide non-coding RNA. NCBI's taxonomy places the organism in Eukaryota, Viridiplantae, Streptophyta, Magnoliopsida, Solanales, Solanaceae. The record is from Rfam.